UUUUGAAGGGUAUAGUACUUUGCUAAGCCAUUAAGCGUUGUGUACACGGGUGACAGAAAGAUGAGCGCACCGAAUGCUGGUGUACUUAGCCGCACCGCCUGAUGGCGCUACCAUCACAAGAUCUAUUUACUAUCGUGUACACUACUCUCGUGGAUGAAUACUGUCAACAUUUUAGGGGCGCGCAGAGGUGGGGGUAGAGUGUGUCUGCAGAUUUAAGAAAACCGGAAAUAUGGUCUAGUGAAAUUACAGUGCCGAUUUAAGGUGAGGAAGGCUAAGUACUUUACGAACCGCCCUGAUAUUUCAAAUCACUCUUAUAUUUUGUAACGAAAGCACACGGUACAAAAUGUUUAUAUUUUUAAAAAUAGUAAUAUUGAAAAUUUGUAAACAUCAAAAAUAGAUAAAUUCAAGGAACACAAAUUUUGAAAAUUAAUUACAUGUUGGAUAGAUCUCAAAAAUUAUGCUUACAUUUGUAGG
This is a long non-coding RNA of Bactrocera oleae (olive fruit fly), 474 nucleotides long. RefSeq lists it as uncharacterized. NCBI's taxonomy places the organism in Eukaryota, Metazoa, Arthropoda, Insecta, Diptera, Tephritidae. The record is from RefSeq and is a predicted model, not a curated record.